AGUGAACGCUGGCGGCAGGCCUAACACAUGCAAGUCGAGCGGCAGCGGGUCCUUCGGGAUGCAGGCGAGCGGCGGACGGGUGAGGAAUACAUCGGAAUCUGCCCUGUCGUGGGGGAUAACCUAGGGAAACUUAGGCUAAUACCGCAUACGACCUACGGGUGAAAGCGGGGGAUCGCAAGACCUCGCGCGACAGGAUGAGCCGAUGUCCGAUUAGCUAGUUGGCGGGGUAAAGGCCCACCAAGGCGACGAUCGGUAGCUGGUCUGAGAGGAUGAUCAGCCACACUGGGACUGAGACACGGCCCAGACUCCUACGGGAGGCAGCAGUGGGGAAUAUUGGACAAUGGGCGCAAGCCUGAUCCAGCCAUGCCGCGUGGGUGAAGAAGGCCUUCGGGUUGUAAAGCCCUUUUGUCCGGGAAGAAAUCGUCUGGGCUAAUACCCCGGGCGGAUGACGGUACCGGAAGAAUAAGCACCGGCUAACUUCGUG
RNAcentral lists this ribosomal RNA (484 nucleotides) under uncultured bacterium. RNAcentral describes it as "partial 16S ribosomal RNA". It matches the Rfam family "Bacterial small subunit ribosomal RNA", at positions 30 to 507 of the family's 1533-position model. The record is from RNAcentral.